Molecule: long non-coding RNA, 448 nt
Organism: Cotesia glomerata
Lineage: Eukaryota; Metazoa; Arthropoda; Insecta; Hymenoptera; Braconidae
Exons: 2
Source: RefSeq, a predicted model, not a curated record
GACAGCGCCACCUUUUUUUUUAUUUAAAGGCUAAUUUGUAAUUGGAAGUUUAGGCGGUAAAGUAGAGGGCUCUGUUAGCGGUUGAGGGUUCGGGUUUUUAUUUUAUUUUAAGCGUUUUUGAGGGCGUGAAGUGGCCGGAAGGGAGAAGUGGGUUUUGAGGGCCAUUUUGUGACAGGACGUGGAAAAUUAAGCAUUGUUCAAGUGUGAUUUUAUAUUGAAAUUAUUUUAAGAAAAUUUCAGGAAGAGAGAGAGGUUAUUUUCGAGAUAAUUUUACUGGAAAUGGAUUUAUUGUUUCAGAGGUUGAUGGAUGGUGGUAAUGAUUUCAAGUAUUGGUCUGAAGUUGAGUAUUAUUAAUUAUGGGUCCUUGAUAUAUUAUUGGAUAUUGUUGGAUAUAUUUUUUGAAGAUUGAAUAUUGCAAAUAUUAGGAAAAUAUAUAAAUUGAAUAUUG